RNAcentral lists this ribosomal RNA (497 nucleotides) under uncultured bacterium. RNAcentral's name for it is "partial 16S ribosomal RNA". It matches the Rfam family "Bacterial small subunit ribosomal RNA", at positions 28 to 507 of the family's 1533-position model. The record is from RNAcentral.
GAUGAACGCUGGCGGCGUGCCUAAUACAUGCAAGUCGAGCGAACAGACGAGAAGCUUGCUCCCCACACGUUAGCGUCUGACGGGCGAGCAACACGGGGACAACCUAGUUAUCUGCCUGGGAUCACUGCGGGACAAUGGAGCUAAAUCCGUAUAAUCUCAUGAUAUUAAUGGUUCCAUAAUGAAAGACGGUAAUGCUGUAUCUUAUAGCUAGAACCUGGCCGCAUUUGCUAUUUGGUAAGGUAACGGCUUACCAAGGCAACGAUGCGUAGCAGACCUCAGAGGUGGAUCGGCCACACUGGAACUGAGACACGGUCCAGACUCCUACGGGAGGCAGCAGAAGGGAAUCUUCGGCAAUGGGCGAAAGCCUGACGGAGCAACGCCGCGGGAGGGAGAAAGUUCUUCGGAUCGUAAAACUCUGUUAUUGGGGAGGAACAAUGGUGUAAGUGACUAUUCACGUCUUGACGGUACCUAAUCAGAAAGCGACGGCUAACUACGUG